AACGAACGCUGGCGGCAGGCCUAACACAUGCAAGUCGAACGCCCUAGCAAUAGGGAGUGGCAGACGGGUGAGUAACGCGUGGGAACGUACCCUUCGGUUCGGAAUAACCCAGGGAAACUUGGACUAAUACCGGAUACGUGCGAGAGCAGAAAGAUUUAUCGCCGAAGGAUCGGCCCGCGUCCGAUUAGCUAGUUGGUGAGGUAAUGGCUCACCAAGGCGACGAUCGGUAGCUGGUCGAGAGGAU
This 244-nucleotide ribosomal RNA is filed under the name uncultured bacterium. RNAcentral describes it as "partial 16S ribosomal RNA". It matches the Rfam family "Bacterial small subunit ribosomal RNA", at positions 29 to 301 of the family's 1533-position model. The record is from RNAcentral.